CCUACGGGUGGCAGCAGUGAGGAAUAUUGGUCAAUGGGAGAGAUCCUGAACCAGCCAAGCCGCGUGAGGGAAGACGGCUCUAUGGGUUGUAAACCUCUUUUGUCGGAGAACAAAACCCGGGACGUGUCCCGGACUGCGUGUAUCCGAAGAAAAAGCAUCGGCGAACUCCGUGCCAGCAGCCGCGGUAAUACGGGGGAUGCGAGCGUUAUCCGGAUUUAUUGGGUUUAAAGGGUGCGUAGGCGGUCCGUUAAGUCAGCGGUAAAAUUGCGGGGCGCAACCCCGUCGAGCCGUUGAAACUGGCAGACUUGAGUUGGCGAGAGGUACGCGGAAUGCGCGGUGUAGCGGUGAAAUGCAUAGAUAUCGCGCAGAACUCCGAUUGCGAAGGCAGCAUACCGGCGGCGAGCUGACGCGGAGGCACGAAAGCGUGGGUAUCGAACAGGAUUAGAUACCCUUGUAGUG
Molecule: ribosomal RNA, 459 nt
Filed under: uncultured bacterium
Lineage: Bacteria
Description: partial 16S ribosomal RNA
Rfam family: Bacterial small subunit ribosomal RNA
Source: RNAcentral